CAAGUCGAAACAAAAUAUCGUUACACAUAUACUUUUUAAGUGAAAAUCAUGCAUAUAUUUAACAUUUAAGGUGCCCAGCUUCCCUAGUAAGGGGCUCGGCAAAAUAAUCAUCACGUCAUCUCCGUCAUCAUCAUCAUCAUAACCAUCCUCAUCACCAAUCAUAUAUAUAAUAUACAUACCCGGCCCUCUAGUGAGGAACUCGGUGACAUAUGCAAGAAACUCCGCACGAACAUUACCCGGCCCGAGACUCGGUGAAAUGAUAAAUGACUCUAUGCACGAGCAGAAUAUUAUGAGCAACCAUAUGCAAUUAAAAUCAUUUCUUAUAACUCAAUAGAACAAUCAACGUGAACCAGCAAGGAGUAUUACCAAAGAUUAAUGUUUUAUCAAGAUUAUGAACCUUUAAUACGAUAUGGAAACGUAAAAUUUUAAUGACUCUAAGAAGCAUUACCAUAGAUAUUAGAGAUCAUCAUAGCCUUAGACAUAGCCGAUAUAUAGAGGAAUAAUUGUGGAAGCAAGAAUAUACAUCACCUAGACGCUUUUAGAGGUAAGUAUCAAAUCUGUCCGUUAUUCGCUUAUUUUUAAAAGUCAUGCCAAGCAAAGAAAGAAGGGACAGCGUUACAUACCGUAUAAUUGAGCCGCACGUCCAAUAUUUACUGCUCAGCUAUUAAUCUAUAACAAGCAACAAUUGUGCCGCAAUUAGAUAAACAUCGUGCUUUACUUUCUUGUAAGCUAGCUAAUAAUCUAACGAAAAUUCGGCAGCACCUCCCCUAUUUUCCUUACUUCGUCCCAAUCCGACAACAAUCCAAAUUAUCCACAUCAAUACCAAUAACACAUAUAACCCAAAGAAUCAUAUAAACAGCCCAAGCACCAACAUGACACCACUAAUAAUCCGAUUAUGGUUUCCAUUCAUACUUAGCACAUUCAAUAACUAAAACAAACUUCCUAAGCUACUGGUCACGCCCCCUUCUUAAAAUUAAUGGAUAAUUAACAAGGGUAUUCUAAAGAAUUAACACACCAAACAAGGAGAUUACUAACCAAAUUAUUUGCAGCUGCUGGCCAAGAGUUGCAGGGUUGGUUUCUCCAUUUCCAUGGCUGCCUAAGACAGGUGGUGAAGAAGAAGAUGAUAUGCAGCAAUGAAUUUCACCACUUUAUAUAGCAUGGAGUGGAUUUCUCCACCUCAUUUAAUAGUAUGGAGUGGAGGCAGCCCCCCUCUACACCUGUCCACUAAGGCCAGCCCACAAUCUGAUCCCUUUUUAAUUUUUGCCUUGAGUGGUGGGGCCCAUUGGAUUAAAUCAAUCCAAAUUAGCCACUAAUUAAUCCCUCAC
RNAcentral lists this long non-coding RNA (1325 nucleotides) under Solanum lycopersicum (tomato). Its description in RNAcentral is "long non-coding RNA (SLYC_LNC001135)". Lineage: Eukaryota; Viridiplantae; Streptophyta; Magnoliopsida; Solanales; Solanaceae. The record is from RNAcentral.